This 490-nucleotide ribosomal RNA is filed under the name uncultured bacterium. Its description in RNAcentral is "bacterial SSU rRNA". It matches the Rfam family "Bacterial small subunit ribosomal RNA", at positions 32 to 498 of the family's 1533-position model. The record is from RNAcentral.
AAUCAACGCUGGCGGCGUGCCUAACACAUGCAAGUCGAACGCGAAAGCCCCUUCGGGGGCAAGUAGAGUGGCGUCCGGGUGAGUAACACGUGGGUAAUCUACCUCCGGGUGGGGAAUAACUCGCCGAAAGGUGGGCUAAUACCGCAUAAUGCAGCGGCACCGAAUGGUGAUUAGUUGUUAAAGCGGGGGACCUUAGGGCCUCGCGUCUGGAGAGGAGCCUGCGGCAGAUUAGCUUGUUGGUAGGGAAUGGCCUACCAAGGCUGCGAUCUGUAGCUGGUCUGAGAGGACGGCCAGCCACACUGGCACUGACACACGGGCCAGACUCCUACGGGAGGCAGCAGUGGGGAAUUUUGGGCAAUGGGCGAAAGCCUGACCCAGCAACGCCGCGUGAAGGAGGAAAUCCUUCGGGAUGUAAACUUCACAAGCAAGGGAAGAGCGCGCAGGGUCGAAUAAACUCUGCGUCCGACGGUACCUUGCGUAAGCCACGGCU